Molecule: long non-coding RNA, 5679 nt
Filed under: Homo sapiens (human)
Lineage: Eukaryota; Metazoa; Chordata; Mammalia; Primates; Hominidae
Description: SAP30 divergent transcript (SAP30-DT)
Source: RNAcentral
GAGAGGGAUGGGCGUGGCUAAUAUGAAAGCUGCAUCUUUACUAGUUAGCUACCAUGCGUCAUUAUUUAUCAAAAGAUAUAUGCUGCUUAAACACAAAUACGUUUUAAAAUAUAUUUUAGGCAGUAGGGUUUUGGGUUUUUUUUUUGCAAGUUCUUUUGGUGAGUAAAUUUAGUGAUAAAUGAUUUUUUUUUCUUUUGAGACAGUUUGCUCUGUCGCCCAGGAUGGAGUGCAGUGCAGUGGCGCGAUCCUGCAACCUCCGCCUCUCGAGUUCAAGCGAUUCUCCUGCCUCAGCCUCCCGAGUAGCUGGGAUUACAGACGCGCGCCACCCCACCCAGAUGAUCUUUUUAAAUGCAAAAUGCCAUCGACGCAGAAAAUCAAAGAAUCAGCUUAAGUUCCAGAAAAAAGAAAAACCAACCAAAUGAACAAUAAGACAACAACAACAACAACAAAAAAGGCCUUUUGGGAUUUUGGAUGAUAUUGCAUCAAAUCCAUACAUUAACCUGAGAGACGAGCGACUUCUUCAACAUUGAGCCUUCCAAUCAUGAUUUUCAAUUCAUUUAGGUCUUCUGUAAUGUUUCUUAAUAUAAUUGUAUUUGUUGCUAUGCAGAAGUUUCACUGAUCUUUUAUUAUAUCUCUAUAUAUAUUUGAUAUUUCUGACACUAUUGUAAAUAGUAUCUUUUUAAUAUUUCAUUUUCCUUUUUUGUUGCUUAAAUAUAUAUAAAAUAAGCUAAUUUUCCAAACUAAUUUUUAUAUCCAGCAACCCUGCUAAAAUUUCUUAUCCAAUAAAAAUAUAAAUGUAUUUGUGUUUGGGUUUCAAUGCAUUCAAUCAUACCAUUUUCAAAUCGUUGAGUUUUCCUUCAUUUUUUAUUCCCUUUUUUCUUGUGCUACUACAGGUUCAGGACUCUAGAACAACAUUAUAAAAGAGGUGUUAGCAGGCAAAAAUGUCUCAUUUCCAGUUUCAAAAGAAAGGCUUUUCAUGUUUCGCUAUUAUGUAUCAUGUCUGAUACAGAUUUUUUUGUUUUUCAUCUAAAUUUUUAUACCAUUUAUAUGUUCAUAACAACCUCAUGUUUUUAAGGUGUGCAAGAUCUGACCCAGUGUCCCUAUCUUCAUCAUCAAUUAUUAGUGCCUUCUCUCUUUUGUUAAUCAGUCUCACCAGUGUUCUAUCAAUUUUAUUAGGCUUUUCAGAGGACCUGAAUUUUGUACAUAGUUUUUAUUGUAUUUUUUUCUAUUUCAAUUAUUCUAUUUUCUUUAUUAUUUCUUUCUACUUUCUAUUUUGCUGUUCUUUUACUAACUUCUUUACAAAUAUGUACAUUAAAAGCUACAGAUUUCUCCAUCAAUAUUGUUUUAACUGCAUCACACAAGUCUUGAUAUGUAUUAUUACCAUUGAAUUUAAAACAUCAUCUAAUUUUCCUAUCAUUUUUUUGAUGCAUAGAUUUAGAAGUAUGUUUCUUUUUUUUUCUUUUUUCUUUUUUUUUUUUUUGAAAUAGAGUCUCACUCUGUUGCCCAGGCAAGAGUGCAGUGGCUCUAUCACUACUCAUGACAGCGUCAACCUCCCCAGGCUCAGGUGAUUCUCCCACCUCAGCCUCCCAAAUAGCUGGGACUACAAGUGCAGACUACCAUGCUCAGCUAAUUUGUUUUUUGUGUGUUUUUUAUAGAGACAAGGUUUCUCCAUGUUGCUCGGGCUGGUCUCCAACUCCUGGACCCAAGCCAUCUGCCAGCCUCCCAAAGUGUUGGCAUUACAGGUGUGAACCAUGGCACCCAGCCUAGAAGUAGGUUUCUUAUUUCCAAACAUAUGCAAAUAAUGUGAUUAUCCUUUUCUUAUUGAUUUCGAACACAUAUAAAUUGUCACUUUAGAACUCUGUAUGAUUUAAAUCCUUUAAAAUUUAUUGAGGGUUUCUUUUAACUUAUCUUCCAGUCACUCAUUAUCUCUUUAGGUGUCCCUAACCUGCUCUAAAAUUCACCCGUAGUCUUUGUACUUUUAGUUAUUACAUUUUUUAGUUUUAUAAUUCCUAUCUGGUUCUUUUUAAAACCUUGAAUGUCACUUUUUUAUGAUUUCUAGUUCCUGGACAAAAUUUAUAUGCUUGACUUUUUCUUUCAUGAACAUAGUAAGCAUAGUAGUUUUUAGACUUUGUUAUUAAGUCUGUUUCUUUUGUCUAUUGUUUCUCCUGGUGGCUGUCUCAUGCUUACUCUUCCUGCAUCCAUUAAUUUUGAUUGUUUGCAGUUCAUUUAAUUGGAAAAACUGAUUUAAUAUAAACAAUUUGAAGCACUGGAUGAUGUAAUGUUCCUAUAGAGAGGCGCUUCUUUUCCUUCCAUUGGGUGCUAAAGGGUGCCAGUAGUCCUGAAUCAAUGCUUGAGGAUUUCUGAGCCAACCAGAUCAUUCUAGUCCCUCUCCCCACUUUUGGCCUAGGCUUCCCAGGGUUCUAUCCCAGAGUAGGAGGUGUUUCACUAGGGUUACCACCAUCAAGGUAUACUGGAUUCCAACCCUACAUCAAAGUGACUGCCACACGCUCAGCUCUUCCUCUUACUUCCUAUUUUAAGUCACUUGGUUAUAACUAGUACAGUAUAUAGUAAAAUAACAUCUGCAUUCUGAUACUAUUCAUAGUCUUAACAUUUUGCUCAGCAUAUCUCUGUGGCUUUUACCUUGAUUUUGUUCUCAUGAGAGAGUGAGGCAUAAAAAAGAUGGAGAUGUAGUUCCCAGGUAAUGCUGGAACUUGCUCUGGGUACAAAAUUAUUUGUGACUGACUAGCAAAAUAGAAUGUUAGUAAUUUUUAAAAAGAAACUGAACGUAGAUUAAAAUCUCCAGAACUAAAAUGAGAAUUAUUAUAGCAUUCUCUCACCCAUAAUCCACCUAGAUUGGAAUACGUUCUCAAACACUUCUGUACAGUGUUCCAGUUACUUGGGUUCAGGAGAAACAUUUUGACUAACAAUCUUCUUUUUAGUAUACCAGAAUAAAACGUUGAAAGCACCUCACUGAGGUGCUUUCAUUUUAAUUAAAGAAAAAAAUCUACACUAUAUGCUGCAAAUGACUUUAUAUAAAAACUGCUUUGGGAUAUUACCUUCUAUAGUUAUAGCCUUGGUGUCAUUGCAGAUGGGAACAUCUACAUAACUGACUCUAAGUGGGCUACUGACAACUAUAACAUUCUUCUUCAUUAUCUGAAGCCAAUAAUCAGAGUACUUCCCUAGAAUUUCUUCAUAUUUUUUGAAAACAUGGAACAGAAAUGAAUUAUAUUAGCAUUCUAAAAGAAUAUGAGGUCUGCUUAGUUUUGAAAGUUUUCAUUUCUUCUCCUGAAAUCUAUCCAGAGCAACCAAGAAAAUGAAAAUAAAUUCAUAGAAACUGAACUUUCAGCAAAUAGCUAAGAAAACUCCAAAACUCCAAAAUUAAAUGUGAAUGCUGCAAUAGGCAACUGAGGACAGCAAGCCCACAUAGGAAAUCAAGACAAUAUGGGAAAGUACUGGAAGUGGGGAAGGAGUUUAGUGGUGGCUGUACCCUAAAAACAAGGCUGCGACUGAAUAGGCUCCAAACAUUGGGAAGGGAGAGAGAGAAGGACAGAAGCUGCCCAAUCAGAGAUUGCAGACCUUAGAAAGCACCAGUAAAAUAACUUCUAAAAGCAGUAUCAUCAUCUUAGAAGGCAAUAUCUGUGUCCCUGCAGCCUGUGAAUAAAUCAGGAAGCCCAGGACUGUGUGUAGAAGCUCUUUGGAACCAGGUUCAGUUCUGAGAGGCAGAGUAGGUGUUCACAGAGUUUAAGAAAAGAGUCGUCUUCUAUAGCAACAGAAGAGGGAGCCCUCGAGAGAUGAAUUUUAUAAUGCUAUCCUAAUCUUUCUUUUCACCUCCUGUUAGUAGUCCAGGAAAAUUUCACUAAUUUAAAUUCAAAGAUUAUGAAAGUCAUAUGCAGAACAUCUAUUCAAAAUUAUAAUAAAAAAACUGUGAAACGGAGUAGCACGAUUUUCCUGCAGAAGAUGAAAAUUUACCAGAAAAUGGUUGUCAUAAAACAAAUGAAAUUUAUAACUCAACAUUCCAACGUGAAUUUGAAAAACUUAAGGAAGCAAUCACAGGUAUGAAGUAAAAUCAUGAAAAGUAAUAUAUUUGACUCAGCAGGGAGUCAGACAAUAGGUUAUUAAUACCUACUUUUAUAGGAAUAUAUUCAGAGAAUUGAUUAUUUUGGUAUUUUAGAAGUGCGUAGCAAAGAAUUAACCUUACCCAAAAAGAAGUCUGGCCUUUGUCCUUGUAUCCUAGGAGGUGAUCUCUAGGAAGAGUGGCUUUGUUUACCUGGGAGCCUUUAGCUACACUGGAUGGUGUAAGAAUGUGAUUUAUGAUGUGGUCUUUGGGCCAUGAGAUAGCCAGUCUACCUCCAGAGGGGCUGCAGACUAAAAUUUCCUGGACUCUGCUCUAUGCACCAAUUCCCUUGGAAUCAGCAUCCUUUUUUCCCCCUUUUACACACACACACACACACACACACACACACACGCACACACAAAUUUUAAAAAGAUGGAGUCCAUGUUGCCCAGGCUGGUCUUGAACUGCUGGCCUCAAGUGAUCCUCCUGCCUUGGCCUCCCAAAGUGCUGGAAUUACAGAUGUGAGCCACUGUGUCCAGCCAGUAUGCUUUUGUUGUAAUAAACCAUAACUGUGAAUAUAAUAGUUAUCAGUGAGUUCUCUCGGUCCUUCAAGUAAAUUACCAGACUUAAGGGUAGUCCUGGUGUGUCCAGAAUUUAUUCCUUCUGGUGGGUUCUUGGUCUCACUGACUUCAAGAAUGAAGCUGCAGACCCUCGUGGUGAGUGUUACAGUUCUUAAAGAUGGUGUGUCCGGAGUUUGUUCCUUCAGAUGUUCAGAUGUGUCCAGAGUUUCUUCCUUCCGGUGGGCUUGUGGUCUCGCUGACUUAAGGAGUGAAGCCACAGACCUUUGCAGUGAGUGUUACAGCUCUUAAAGGUGGUACGUCCAGAGUUGUUCGUUCCUCCUGGUGGGUUCGUGGUCUCACUGACUUCAGGAAUGAAGCCACAGACACUCGCAGUGAGUGUUACAGCUCAUAAAGGUGGUGUGGACCCAAAGAGUGAGCAGCAGCAAGAUUUAUUGUCAAGAGCGAAAGAACAAAGCUUCCAUGGAAGGGGACCUAAGCAGGUUGCCGCUGCUGGCUCAGGUGGCCAGCUUUUAUUCCCUUAUGUGGCCCUGCCCACGUCCCGCUGAUUGGUGCGUUUUUACAGAGUGCUGAUUGGUGCACUUACAAAACCUUUAGCUAAACACAGACGUUGAUUGGUGUGUUUUUUACAAAGUGCUGAUUGGUGCGUUUACAAACCUUUAGCUAGACACAGAGCGCUGAUUUGUGCAUUUACAACCCUUUAGCUAGGCAGAAAAGUUCUCCAAGUCCCCACCUGACCCAGAAGCCCAGACAGAUUCACCUCUCACUGGGAACCCUGAACUCUUAAGUUGGGGUCAGAAGUGAAGGUGAUCUCUUGUGGAUUGCUCCCCUAACUUUGAAGGAAACUUUUGAAGUUUUGCUACAAAAUAUGUAAUCAGAUUUUAUAAGUAUUGCUUGUUUAUAAGGUAUAUUUUGGGUUUGUACACAACAGACCCCAUUGAGUAGAUAUGUGGACUACUAUUUGUGUGUUUCUGAUAAUUUUUCUUGUAAAACCAAUAAUCCUUGCUACAUUUAUUUUAAUGCCAUGUUAUCUUUAAUAUGGAAGAU